Bos taurus (domestic cattle) is the source of this 74-nucleotide non-coding RNA. The record is from Rfam. Lineage: Eukaryota; Metazoa; Chordata; Mammalia; Artiodactyla; Bovidae.
UUCCCUGGCAGUCCAGUGAUUAAGACUCUGUGCUUCCAAUACAGGGGGCGCAAGUUCGAUUCCUGCUAGGGAAA